Molecule: ribosomal RNA, 253 nt
Filed under: uncultured bacterium
Lineage: Bacteria
Description: partial 16S ribosomal RNA
Rfam family: Bacterial small subunit ribosomal RNA
Source: RNAcentral
UACGAGGGGGGCGAGCGUUGUUCGGAAUUAUUGGGCGUAAAGGGUGCGUAGGCGGUUUGGUAAGUCUGAUGUGAAAUCUAUGGGCUCAACUCAUAGUCUGCAUCGGAAACUGCCGGGCUUGAGUGUGGGAGAGGUGAGUGGAAUUCCUGGUGUAGCGGUGAAAUGCGUAGAUAUCAGAAGGAACACCUGUGGCGAAAGCGGCUCACUGGACCAUAACUGACGCUGAUGCACGAAAGCUAGGGGAGCAAACAGG